Molecule: ribosomal RNA, 260 nt
Filed under: uncultured bacterium
Lineage: Bacteria
Description: partial 16S ribosomal RNA
Rfam family: Bacterial small subunit ribosomal RNA
Source: RNAcentral
GUCCACACUGUAAACGAUGAUUACUCGCUGCUAGAGGGUAACUUUUAGUGGCUUAGCGAAAGCGAUAAGUAAUCCACCUGGGGAGUACGCCGGCAACGGUGAAACUCAAAGGAAUUGACGGGGGCCCGCACAAGCGGAGGAGCAUGUGGUUUAAUUCGAUGAUACGCGAGGAACCUUACCAGGGCUUGAAAGUUAGUGACCGCUCCUGAAAAGGGAGCUUCCCGCAAGGGCACAAAAACUAGGUGCUGCAUGGCUGUCGU